Molecule: ribosomal RNA, 253 nt
Filed under: uncultured bacterium
Lineage: Bacteria
Description: partial 16S ribosomal RNA
Rfam family: Bacterial small subunit ribosomal RNA
Source: RNAcentral
UACGUAGGGGGCUAGCGUUGUCCGGAUUUAUUGGGCGUAAAGAGCGUGUAGGCGGCCAGGUAGGUCUGGUGUGAAAACUCGAGGCUUAACCUUGAGAUGUCAUCGGAAACCAUUUGGCUAGAGUCCGGAAGAGGAAAGUGGAAUUCCUGGUGUAGCGGUGAAAUGCGCAGAUAUCAGGAAGAACACCGGUGGCGAAGGCGGAUCUCUGGGCCUUGCCUGACGCUGAGGCGCGAAAGCUAGGGGAGCGAACAGG